This 236-nucleotide ribosomal RNA is filed under the name uncultured bacterium. RNAcentral's name for it is "partial 16S ribosomal RNA". It matches the Rfam family "Bacterial small subunit ribosomal RNA", at positions 541 to 776 of the family's 1533-position model. The record is from RNAcentral.
UUGUUCGGACUUACUGGGCGUAAAGGGCUCGUAGGCGGCCAACUAAGUCAGCCGUGAAAUCCCUCGGCUUAACCGGGGAACUGCGUCCGAUACUGGAUGGCUUGGAUUUGGGAGAGGGAUGCGGAAUUCCAGGUGUAGCGGUGAAAUGCGUAGAUAUCUGGAGGAACACCGGUGGCGAAGGCGGCAUCCUGGACCAAUAUUGACGCUGAGGAGCGAAAGCCAGGGGAGCAAACGGG